CCUGUUGGAUUAUAUAAAGCAAAAACUAAUACCCCUAACUUUCGAUAACAUUGUUCUUUGUUCUAUCUGAACAAUCUACUGUUUAUUUAACUCUACACACACUGCGUCACGGGAUCUUGUUAGACGGACGUAUUGCUUCCAAGUACCAUUUAAAGUAUAGAAUAAAUAUUUCAAUAUCAAAUUAGUAUAUUAUUUCUUUUAAUCCCAUACCUCCUAUAGGUUAUGGGCCCAGUGCGAAAAAGGACAUUUAGUAGUGAGAACAUUCAGUAGUGCGUAGUGACAGUAAAGUGCAUAGUUGUAAAUAAAAAUAAAGUUGUGACAAUGGAAAAAGUGAAAAGAAACAUUAAGCCUUUUAAUGGAGAAAAGUACAGUGUAUGGAAAUUUAGAAUUCGUACACUGCUUUCAGAGUUAAACUUGCUCAGUGUUAUUGACGAAGAAAUUCCUGGAACGCGAUCCGCUGAGUGGGAAAAGAAUAAUAAGGCAGCCAAAAGUAUUAUAGUCGAAUAUUUGGCGGACUCAUAUCUUAAUUAUAUUAAUGAAAAUGGGACUGCUCAAGCAGUUUUUAAACAUUUUGACGCGAUCUAUGAAAGGAAAAGUGUAGCAACUCAAUUAGCGCUGAGAAAACAAUUAUUGGGAUUAAAAUUAAAAGCCGAUAUACCCUUGAUCAAACACUUCUCAACAUUUGACGAUCUGCUGACAGAAUUAUCAGCUGCUGGAGCUAAAUUAGAGGAAACGGACAAAGUAGCUCAUUUAUUACUUACUCUCCCGAAUACAUAUGAUGGCGUUAUCACUGCAAUUGAGACACUAUCUGAAGAAAAUAUCACUCUCGGUUUUGUAAAAACUAGACUAUUAGAUCACGAAGUAAAAUUAAAAAACGAGAGUCGUGAUACCAGUUUAAAGAUACUCCAUGUUGAAGAAAAAUAUAAUAAAACAGAUACAAUCGCACAAAACAAAACUAUUUGAAGAAUACAACAUUCAAGAAAACAAACAAACAAAAAUUUGUGAAAUGUCAUUACUGUGGACGCAAAGGACACAAGAAACAGGAUUGUUUCUAUUUCAAAAGACAGACAAAUAUACAAAACAAUGCCCCAGAAAGGACAAGACAAGUCCAAACUAUUGCCCUGCAAGAGGGAACGACCUCGAAUUCUUCUUUUUCAGGAUUUGCGUUCAUGACAAGCGCAUACCAUUAUGAAAAAGACCACUCGACAAUUAAAUUCCUAUUAGAUUCAGGAGCGUCUGAUCACAUCACAAAUAGAGAUGAUCUCUUCACAUCGUUUGAAUGUUUAAAUCCUCCUUUAAAAAUUUCAGUAGCUAAAAACAAUACAUUUAUUUCAGCAACUAAAAGGGGAAACAUAAAUCUUAUCAGUCAAACAGGAGUGCAAGGAAUACUUACAAAUGUAUUGUUCUGUGCCGAAGUACCAUAUAAUUUAAUAUCGGUAUCAAAGAUGCAGCAAGCAGGAUUCACCAUAAUAUUUGAUGACAAAGGCACACAAAUUACAAAGGAAGGUAAAAUCAUCAUGAAAGGUAACCAGUUGGCAGACUUGUUGACAAAACCUUUACCAGUCGUGUCUUUUAUAAGACUGAGAAAAGGAUUGGGUAUAGAAUAAGUUUUAAUUUAAGUACAAUUUCAUUAUGAAAUGGUCUGAUCAGGUUUUCUGGGUUUCCCUGAUCCUGUGCAGCAAAUGUUGGACCAUUAUUGUACAGUUGUCCCAGACCUUACUUGGAAGUAUAAUAUGUUACGUCGUAUUUAUAAGUUGGUAUUCACUUUGUAAUGUUGAAUUGUAGACUAGAUACUGUAUAGUAAACUAACGAAUGACUAAAAGUUAGGGAUUAAUUUUUGAGGGGGCGUGUUGGAUUAUAUAAAGCAAAAACUAAUACCCCUAACUUUCGAUAACAUUGUUCUUUGUUCUAUCUGAACAAUCUACUGUUUAUUUAACUCUACACACACUGCGUCACGGGAUCUUGUUAGACGGACGUAUUGCUUCCAAGUACCAUUUAAAGUAUAGAAUAAAUAUUUCAAUAUCAAAUUA
This is a long non-coding RNA of Helicoverpa armigera (cotton bollworm), 2030 nucleotides long. RefSeq lists it as uncharacterized. NCBI's taxonomy places the organism in Eukaryota, Metazoa, Arthropoda, Insecta, Lepidoptera, Noctuidae. The record is from RefSeq and is a predicted model, not a curated record. The transcript has 2 exons.